AGCACGGGAGCAAUCCUGGUGGCGAGUGGCGAACGGGUGAGUAAUGUAUCGGAACGUACCUUUCAGUGGGGGAUAACGUAGCGAAAGUUACGCUAAUACCGCAUAUUCUGUGAGCAGGAAAGCAGGGGAUCGCAAGACCUUGCGCUGAUUGAGCGGCCGAUAUCAGAUUAGCUAGUUGGUGAGGUAAAGGCUCACCAAGGCGACGAUCUGUAGCGGGUCUGAGAGGAUGAUCCGCCACACUGGAACUGAGACACGGUCCAGACUCCUACGGGAGGCAGCAGUGGGGAAUUUUGGACAAUGGGGGCAACCCUGAUCCAGCCAUGCCGCGUGAGUGAAGAAGGCCUUCGGGUUGUAAAGCUCUUUCAGCCGGGAAGAAAUCACAUGGGUCAAUACCCUGUGUGGAUGACGGUACCGGAAUAAGAAGCACCGGCUAACUACGUGCCAGCAGCCGCGGUAAUACGUAGGGUGCGAGCGUUAAUCGGAAUUACUGGGCGUAAAGCGUGCGCAGGCGGUUUGUUAAGAUAGGCGUGAAAUCCCCGGGCUCAACCUGGGAACUGCGUUUAUGACUGGCAGGCUAGAGUAUGGCAGAGGGGGGUGGAAUUCCACGUGUAGCAGUGAAAUGCGUAGAGAUGUGGAGGAACACCGAUGGCGAAGGCAGCCCCCUGGGCCAAUACUGACGCUCAUGCACGAAAGCGUGGGUAGCAAACAGGAUUAGAUACCCUGGUAGUCCACGCCCUAAACGAUGUCAACUAGGUGUUGGGUGGGUAAAACCAUUUAGUACCGGAGCUAACGCGUGAAGU
This 800-nucleotide ribosomal RNA is filed under the name uncultured bacterium. RNAcentral's name for it is "bacterial SSU rRNA". It matches the Rfam family "Bacterial small subunit ribosomal RNA", at positions 71 to 865 of the family's 1533-position model. The record is from RNAcentral.